Molecule: RNA transcript, 5843 nt
Organism: Polistes canadensis
Lineage: Eukaryota; Metazoa; Arthropoda; Insecta; Hymenoptera; Vespidae
Gene name: rho-associated protein kinase 2
Exons: 13
Source: RefSeq, a predicted model, not a curated record
UGUCGUCGUCGGCGGCUUUGACGACCGUUGUGAAUUUUCACCAAUGGCGCAUGCACGGCUCAGCUGUCCGCGUUUGGGAUUAAUCCGCGCUGAAAGAUAAUGCUUUUUAUAGUAUUUUUAUUCGAUUAGAGUUUAAGUGGUGGGACGUAGGUACUGUGUGGUAUAAUUGUGUGACGCUUUAAGUUAACGUGGAUUUACCUUUAUUUUCCAUUCGUCCUCCUCCUCCUCCUCCUGCUCCUCCUCCUCGUCCUCGUCUUCGUCUUCGUUGUCGUAUCUACGAUAUCGAGCAUUGAAAAUGUAGGAAAAGAAGAGAGAUAAAAUUCUAUUGUGAUCUACUACGAACGAGCACUUGCUGUAUUAUAAUAUACUUAUAAAUGAUUAUAGUGUUCGAUGUCAUACGAUUUUCAUGUUGAUUUCUCGAUCGUGGAAUAUCUUAGUCAUUUUCGUUUAACUAUGUCUAUUACGACACACGUUUCGAAUUUUUUCUUUCGUCAGAAGGUCUACAAGUAAUACUUUGAGAUCCUUGGUCAAGAAACAUCUCUAACAAAAGAUUCCUUAUAUCAAUUGUAUUGUCUAUUGUAUAUGUUCAAUUCUAUCUGUAAUAACACUCUUAAGUAAGGAUCCUUUUUCUUCAUAUUUUUUUUUUUUACAAGAAAAACACUCCAUUUCGAGUAAUCAACAUUUUUCAUAACACGUACAAGCAAUGCUUUUCUCGAUUCGAACGUACCGUUUGCCUUUCAUCAAUCAAACGUGUCGUUACGAUAUCGGGUGUGCCAACAAGUCGUUGCGCAUUGACUGGAUACAUGUGUUUUUCAAAAAUUUACCUCUUCUACUUCAUCGUUCUGACAUCAUAUCUAAUUAAGUAAUGUAAUGGUGCUGCAUUACUUCUACUACGCAUCAAAUGGAAAAUGGACUAAUGCACCAAGAAAAGAGUAUAUUGUUGCGGCAUUGUAGCCUUAACUCCUAACAGGAGAAAUGGAAAUAAUAAGAGAUGAGGAUAGGCGCAGGCGCCUGAGAUUGUUGGAGGAACGUAUUAAGGACCCUAGAAGUGUGACUAAUAUCGACAGUUUAUUAGAUACGGUCCAAGCGCUUGUUGCAGACUGUGAUCAUCCUGGUGUUAAGCGUAUGAAGAAUAUAGAAGCCUAUAUGAAUAGAUAUGAUUCCGUUGCCCAAGAUAUUUGUAAAAUGCGAAUGCGUACCGAUGACUUUACUUUGAUUAAAGUCAUAGGACGUGGUGCAUUUGGUGAAGUUCAAUUAGUUAGACACAAAUCUACUCAAAAAGUCUAUGCUAUGAAAUUACUCAGCAAAUUUGAAAUGAUUAAGCGUUCGGAUUCAGCCUUUUUUUGGGAAGAACGAGAUAUCAUGGCUCAUGCUAAUUCUCAGUGGAUAGUUCAACUACAUUUUGCUUUUCAAGAUCAAAAGUAUCUCUACAUGGUAAUGGAUUAUAUGCCAGGUGGAGAUUUAGUUAAUUUGAUGUCUAAUUAUGAUGUACCAGAAAAAUGGGCCAAAUUUUAUUGUGCCGAAGUAGUGCUUGCAUUAGAUGCAAUACAUCGUAUGGGAUUUGUACAUCGAGACGUCAAACCGGACAAUAUGCUGCUUGACAAGCAUGGCCAUUUGAAACUUGCAGAUUUUGGCACGUGUAUGAGAAUGGAUGUUGAUGGAUUGGUUCGUUCUGACACUGCAGUAGGUACACCUGAUUAUAUAUCACCCGAAGUACUUCAAUCACAGGGAGGAGAAGGUGUAUAUGGUAGAGAAUGCGAUUGGUGGUCUGUUGGUGUGUUUUUAUAUGAAAUGCUCGUCGGGGAUACUCCAUUUUAUGCUGAUUCAUUAGUUGGAACAUAUUCGAAGAUCAUGGAUCAUAGAAAUUCGCUACAUUUCCCCCAGGAGCUUAACAUUUCUCACUAUGCAAAAAAUUUGAUAUGUGGCUUUCUCACGGAUAGAACUAAACGGUUAGGAAGAAAUGGCGUGGAAGAAAUCAAAAGCCAUCCAUUCUUUAAAAAUGAUCAGUGGACUUUUGAAAAUUUAAGAGAAUGCGUACCACCUGUGGUACCCGAAUUGUCAGGAGACGAUGAUACUAGCAAUUUUGAUGAUGUCGAUAAAGAAGAUGGGCCGGAGGAAAGUUUUCCAGUACCAAAAGCAUUUUCUGGGAAUCAUUUACCAUUCAUAGGUUUCACAUAUUCGGGAGAUUAUCAAUUAUUGGCUAUUAACGGAAAAGAAUCUGUAGAUGGAUUAGAAAAUCAUAUUAAUAAUGGUACUAACGAUGAUGCCAAAAUCUCACAGUUAGAAAAUUUAUUAGAACGAGAAAGAAGGCAGAUUGAAUCUAUGGAAGCAAGACAAAGAGCUUUGUCCAUUCAGUUAGAAACCAUGACACGCAGGGAGACUGAAUUACGUGAAGAAGCGGGAAGAGCAGAUAAGGAGUUAACUUUAUUAAGACAUAAUUAUAAAGAAGCACAAAGGAAAGUAGAUCAUGAAACAGAAGCUCGUAGAAAGGCAGAAUCCUUGUUAAUGGAAUUAAAAAAGAAAUUUGAUGAGGAACAAUCUAGGAGAGCACGAGAUGCUAGUAAUUCACAACAGACAUUUGAACGUGUUAAUACAUUAGAAAAACAAAUUAAAGAAAUGCAAUCUAAAUUGGAAAGAGAAACAGAGACAGUAACGAGAUUACGAAAACAAGCUACUGAAAUUACUGUAGCUCGUCAAGCUGCCGAGCAAAUGGCUAAUGAACUCCAAAUUGCAAGAACUCAAUUGCAAGCUCAACGCGAUACCUUGCAGCAAGAAGUUGCCGCUUUGCAAGGUCAACUAUCGAAAGAACGUAGCUCCCGGUCACAGGCGUCAUCUUUAACAGUAGAACUAGAAACGCGCUUAUCUGCUUUACAUCUUGAAUUGAAACGUAGUCAUGAAAAAGAAGAGAAGGCUACUUUGGACAACAGGCAGCUAAAUGAAAAAGUAUCAGCAUUAGAAAAAGAAACAGCAAGUUUGACGCUUGAAUUAAAAGCUGCACAAGCUAGGUAUAAUCAAGAAGUUGUUGCACACCAAGAGACGGAAAGGUCGCGUAUACUAUCGAAGGAAGAAGCAAAUCUGGAAGUUGUUAAAGGACAUCAUAAUGGAAUAUUCUCAGCAAAAUUGAACGAAGAGAAGAGUGGUAGACAAAAAGCGGAAUUACUUGCACAAGAAAAGGAGAGACAAACUUCUAUGCUAUCGGUGGACUACAGACAAAUCCAGCAACGUUUGCAGAAACUUGAGGGCGAACACAGACAAGAAGUGGAAAAAGUUAAAGUACUUCAGGGUCAGGUUGAACAGGAACAACAAAAGAGAAAUGUUCUUCAAACUGAUUUGGGACAACAGUCCUCGGAAGCUGGAAGAUUACGUGCUAGGGAACAGCAGCUAAUUGGUGAAGUAACACAAUUAAGAGAAGCCAAACGACAGAUAGAAGAAGAAUUGCAUCAUUUGAAGACUCAAAGAAAUGUUGAUCAGCUACAGACUAAAGAAUUACAAGAACAAUUGGAAGCAGAAGCUUACUUUUCGACUCUUUAUAAAACACAAACUCAAGAAUUACGCGAGGAACUUGAAGAGAAAACAAGAUCACAGCAAGAGUUGGAAGAAGAACGCAGUUCUUUGGUUCAUCAAUUACAACUUUCUUUAACCAGAGGGGACAGUGAAGCAUUGGCAAGAUCAAUAGCAGAAGAAACUGUGGCGGAUCUUGAAAAAGAACGUACUAUGAAGGAAUUGGAAUAUAAAGAUGGAGUUGCUAAACAUCAUCAGGAAUUGAAUGCUAAAGAACAGAUUAUAAACAGACUUAAAGAUGGGGAAGCGGAAUUAAAGAAAUCUGUCGAACAAUAUAUUAAAGAGAAAGAAGACUUGAAUAAACGGAUGAAAGAACUUCAAGAACAACUCAAUAAAGCACAAUCUAAUGCAGAAGAAAUAGAAAAACUCAGUAGUAAAUUAAAGACUGAGCAAGUGCUUAAACAACAAGCUGUUAACAAGUUGGCUGAAAUCAUGAAUAGAAAAGAUGUAUCAUCUACUGGAAAAAAUAAGAACAAGGCAUCUGCUACGGAUCUGAGAAAGAAGGAAAAAGACUGUAGACGCUUUCAGCAGGAACUUACUCAAGAACGUGAAAAAUAUGGACAAUUGGCAGCUAAAUGGCAGAAGGAUUUACAAGAUUUACAAGCACAACUCGUGGAAGAAAAUCAAGCAAAAUUGAGGCUACAAAUGGAAUUGGAUUCGAAGGAUUCGGAAAUUGAAACGUUGCAAAUGAAAAUAGCGAGCGUCAAUUCAGAAACAGCAAGUGUUUCUUCCGUUGAAAAUGAUGGAGAAGAUUCCGUUUUAUCCGAGCACGGUUCUAUGAGAUUAGAGGGAUGGUUAAACGUGCCAAACAAACAAAAUAUUAAGAGGCAUGGUUGGAAGAAGCAAUACGUGGUCGUUUCAUCGAAAAAAAUAAUUUUUUAUAAUAGUGAAAACGAUAAAAUGAAUGCCGAUCCAGUUUUGAUAUUAGAUUUGAGUAAAGUAUUUCACGUUAGAUCUGUCACGCAAGGUGAUGUUAUCCGCGCCAAUGCCAAAGAUAUUCCUAGGAUUUUUCAGUUACUUUAUGCUGGUGAAGGUGAAGCUAGAAGACCUGGGGACGAAGGUAAUGCAUUAUCUGGAAUAGAAUUACCACAACUUACAGACAAACCUGGUACUCAACAAUUGAAGGGUCACGAAUUUGUUUCAAUAUCUUAUCAUAUGCCAACUGCUUGUGAAGUUUGUUCUAAACAACUUUGGCAUAUGUUUCGUCCAUCUCCGGCUCUGGAAUGUCGAAGAUGUCGUAUAAAAGUUCAUAAAGAACAUUUGGAAAAGAAAGAAGAUGCCAUAGCUCCGUGUAAACUACAUUACGAUCCAAACAGUGCACGAGAAUUGUUGGUCCUUGCGGGAAGUCCAGAGGAGCAAAAAUAUUGGGUUUCAAGAUUAUCUAGGCGUAUACAAAAAUGUGGUUAUAAAGCUAAUUCACAUGUCGAUGGCACAGGACAACGUGUCUCGCCAAGGUAGCGUAGCCGUGCAGCUCAACGUAGCCAGGGACUAAAUAGAUCUCGUGUAUUGUGGCAUCGCAUGAUCGGGUUUAGAGAGGGAAUCGACAAGAUCGACGUUAAAGCCAUAUUUAUCGGUGCAACAACGCUCAGCAACAUUGCCAGCAAAUGCCAGUAUGGGCAAGUGACCUUAGCUCGCAUUGAUAAUAAUUCUUCAAUCGUCAGUGCACUUGAUAUUGUUAUCAUUUAGUCCUUUUUUACUAAGGUUCGCGGUACUUUAGUAAAACCAGCGUCGCAUCGGUUGAUUUUUCACUUUGUACACCCGAUGAUGAUGACGAUGAUGAUGAUGAAUGAUGAUCAUGAUUUAUUAAGUUCAUUAUUCUCACAUACAUUUUCCAGAAGCCAUGUGUUUCAGAGUCUACUACACUACUACUCCUAGUACUACUACUACUACUACUACUACUACUGCACUACUUCUUCUACUGCUACUACUACUACUACUACUACUACUGCUACUACCUACUUGUAGUUCCAUGUGUUUGUGUCGGAAUUAGCGAUCGAAAUACAUUGUUAACAAAUAUCAUAUUAGUUGGAAAAAAAGAAGGAACAACACAGUAACAACAAAUUAAUUAACGACCAUUGCGAUAUACCGGAUAUUUCAUUAAUCGGGUUAUUAUAGCGAUGCAAGAAAAUUCUAAUCAAGUCCCAGAGCUGUAUGGAAAAAACAGGGUUAAUAGGAUAUACCAACAACAAGUGGAGUUUUAAUAAACAAAGAAAAAAAUCAUUACUUUUUCCGAAAUAUAACCACAUGUUAUAUACGAUCAAGAAAACUAAAGUAAUGCGAAU